This 695-nucleotide long non-coding RNA is filed under the name Rattus norvegicus (Norway rat). Its description in RNAcentral is "long non-coding RNA NONRATT030363". The record is from RNAcentral. Lineage: Eukaryota; Metazoa; Chordata; Mammalia; Rodentia; Muridae.
GGAAACACAGUGUGGACACGUGUGAUUUAGGUCCUCCAUUUCAGUGCCUAGACCUAGAAUUCCUCUGCACGUUGGGGCUUGGAAAAUGGCCACGUGCAGAGGGGCUGGCAGUUCAGGGAGCAGGGACAAAUCUGCACGGUCCUACCUCCCAGAAGAUGAGGCGAGGCGUUGCGGUUAGCAUGACUCGUGACAUGAAGCACUCAGAGGUUCACCACGAAUCUGAAAGUCAAGACACCGACCUCCAUUAAUAUUGUCUUCCUUAGCCUUCCCUUAGAGACAAAACUGAAAGUCACCGUGGACCUUAUCUUUAACAUGCUGAGUGCAUCUCAACAUUGAUCAUCGUGAAUAGACCUUCUAACCAACACUAAGAAUUCAUUUCCCAGAAAAUGGAACAUCCUUGUGGAAAUGACAUCUCUGGACCCUCAUAAGCCCAUCCUGGUGGAGGGUAGAGCUCUGUCAGUCAUGGGAGCAGUGCGUCUCUGCAGGUCAAGAUGAGUGGAUUCGUGGAAACUUUUAUCAAAAUGUGUUAAUGAUCUCAAGCAUUUGACUGUUAACUAUGGAGGAAGAACCAUUGGCCAUCAUCCUCACCCGUGGAUGUGUCUAUAUGUCCGUCCCAGCCCUUGAGCUGUCAAGUCUCCAGGGAAAACUUCGUAGGGGAAGGUGCAGGAUCUACGUGUGGGUCUCUUUGCUUGCCU